This is a long non-coding RNA of Ceratitis capitata (Mediterranean fruit fly), 2351 nucleotides long. RefSeq lists it as uncharacterized. The transcript has 4 exons. The record is from RefSeq and is a predicted model, not a curated record. Lineage: Eukaryota; Metazoa; Arthropoda; Insecta; Diptera; Tephritidae.
UUUUCAGGUGCAACCAGUUGAGAGCAAAUCAAACAAAGAUUGACAGGGUCAGCUGCAAGAGAAUAUGGGAGUGGAUCUUUCAUUUCUAGUUCUGAUUGACAUUGUAAAGGAGGAGAACAUGAAAUGAUGCAGUUAAUUCCAAAUCAUAAACUUCUUUAAUUUCUGUUUAUUUUAUAUUAUAUAUUGCCAGAGAUAGUCAGUGAUUAGACUUGAAUGAAUAAGCGUAGAUUGGAACCGCAUCAUUAAGGUUAGACCAGCUUAGGUACAUAAAAUGACGCAGCCAUGCUCAUUGCCAAGGACUGAUGAAGCGGUGGCAUCUAGCACAAGGUCCGUUUCUCUCCAUGAGCUUAGCUCGUCGUCGAAAAUUGGUAAAGCAGUGAACUUUGCCCUCAAGAUCUGUAAUGCUGAAAGUUUGCCUAAAAUCUUUCAAAGGCACCAUAAGAAAGGCAUAACGAGUAUCUUAGGAGGAAUUUCACAGUGAAAUUGACGAAAGCGUAAAAGACAACAGAUUUGGGAAAGAUCUCUUCAAGUGCACCCCAAUCCCAAACAACAUCCAGAAUAAUGAAUGAACCCACGGAAGAAGAGUUUUAGUCCAAUAUCAGGCAAGAUGGUAUCUUCCUCGCUAUACUACAAAUACCUGAGGAUAUCUUAACUUCAUCUAUAUGCAAUGCUUAAAAAGCAGCUCUGCGUCAAGAGAAUAUCCCCAGGCUUGGACUAAGGCUACAGAAACCUGAAAGACCCAUCCACAUUAGUACGAAGUACUUUUAGUCUACCAGUCUUACCACUAUCCUAUUCGAAAUUUAAGAAAGGUAAGGAAAGAUAGCUAUAUACGCCUAAAUCUACCCAUAGACAGCUUCUCGAGGAAGCAACACGCUUACUCUAAGGGUCAGUUUGUCAAUACAGUACUGCAUUAUUUAGUCGGAUGCAUCGAAAAAGAUAUUGCCACGAAGGAGAACACGCUUGGUACCUCGACAUAGAAGGAACUUUUAGAAGCAUCCUUUCACAAUAGAGUCUCUUCGAGAAGCGUAUUGGAAGUCUUGUAGAGUCUCUCCUAAGAAACAGGAGCAUUUUCGUAGAGAUGGCUAGCGCUCGGACCAGACCAGAUACACAUCAACACUGAUGAUUAGAAAAUUAAACAGCACAGGCUGUCGUGGACUGGGUACAGAGACACAGUGGCAUUCCAGGCAAUCGCAUUACCGACCAAUCUGGGAAGAAAAUCAAUCCUUCCAUCUACAAUAAACAUGCACACCGUGCGGGCAGAAGGAAACUCUAGAUAGCUGAAUGAGAUCACGUGCAACAGAAGCAGAUGGUUGGCAAAAUUGUCCGCAAAAAAAAAAAAAAAUCAAUGCAUCGUAUGCUUCUGAAUCGGUUCUUCACUAGAAUAAUAACAGGCGUAUUAACAGUUGUAAGGGCAAAGAGAAGAAAGAGUCUAUGGAGCACUAAAUCUACUACUAUUCAGCCUUGUCAUCAGCGCAACACAAGUUCCUUUAGAAACACUCUUUUGACUGUCUUGCUGAGAAGGUGAAAAGAGGAGCUUCACAGCGCUAUCACGAUCGGUCUAUUGGCCUAAGAACGUUGGUCACUGAACAACAGUCACAUCAAAUGAAUUCAAAUCAUCUAUAAAAACUUGUUUCAGCACUUCUUACCUCUAUUUCCCUAAGUAUUGGUUUCAUAUAUGUAUAUUUCAUUAUCAAACAUAUUAUUUACCUAUGCUUAUUGCUGAUGCGUUUUGCGACGUUCUUAAAUAAACUUCCGCAUUGAAGAGAGUCUGUCACGCUGCCGUCCAUAGCACAAUAAAAGCAAGUGUCGCUAGCGCGAAACAUUGUUUAGUACAAGCUAUAAAUUUGCAAUUUUUCAUCGGCUUGUUUCAGAUGUAAUGAAUGCGUUUUUGUAUUUUUACAAGCAACAAGUGAUACAUUUUCGUUAAAAUCUGAAGCGUGAUCUCACUGGGUGGCAGGUGGAUGACAAAUUACCAUCGCAGCGAUUCGAACAAUGCAAGCGUGAGGCAAAAAGGUAUACUCGUACGCUUUCGUGAUUUGUGGGAUAAUAUUUAAUACACAGGCAGAUUAAAUUAUCCUCAUAUAAAUAUAAAUAUAAGCGCACAAAUACAUACAUACAUAUAAACAAUUGCAGUGUGCAUGUGUAGGUGCAUGGCAAGUGCAAAUUCGAAAACAAAUGCAAAUAAUUGCAAAAUUUAUGUUUUACAAACAAAGUAGCUGCAAACAAUGAACGACUCGGCUCACUAAUUUCUAAAUCAUUGAACCGUAAAUUGUCGUCGCAACGGUGAAUGCGUUAAACGCGCGUGUCGUAAUUACAAAGAAAAUUAGAAAAAUAAUGAAAAGAAAAAGAAA